CAGUAGCCGCGGUAAUACGAAGGGUGCAAGCGUUACUCGGAAUUACUGGGCGUAAAGCGUGUGUAGGUGGUUGUUUAAGUCUGUCGUGAAAGCCCUGGGCUCAACCUGGGAAUUGCGAUGGAUACUGGGCGACUAGAGUGCGGUAGAGGAUAGUGGAAUUUCCGGUGUAGCAGUGAAAUGCGUAGAGAUCGGAAGGAACAUCUGUGGCGAAGGCGACUAUCUGGGCCAACACUGACACUGAGGCACGAAAGCGUGGGGAGCAAACAGGAUUAGAUACCCCCGUAGUCCCUGUCUCUUAUAC
Molecule: ribosomal RNA, 301 nt
Filed under: uncultured bacterium
Lineage: Bacteria
Description: partial 16S ribosomal RNA
Rfam family: Bacterial small subunit ribosomal RNA
Source: RNAcentral